GACACUUUUGGUUGAGUGGUUAAGGCAUGAGCCUAGAAAGCUAAUGGGGUUUCCCCACACAGGUUCAAAUCCUGCAAGUGACA
This is a non-coding RNA of Massospora cicadina, 83 nucleotides long. The record is from the annotation of a GenBank genome assembly. NCBI's taxonomy places the organism in Eukaryota, Fungi, Entomophthoromycota, Entomophthoromycetes, Entomophthorales, Entomophthoraceae.